RNAcentral lists this long non-coding RNA (331 nucleotides) under Brassica napus (rape). RNAcentral describes it as "long non-coding RNA (BNAP_LNC015113)". The record is from RNAcentral. Lineage: Eukaryota; Viridiplantae; Streptophyta; Magnoliopsida; Brassicales; Brassicaceae.
AUUAAAAAAAUUAAAAAAUCAAUAUUUUGUUAUACCUAGACGACUUUCGUGUAAGUUGUUUCAUAUUAGUUUUGCAAUUGAAAAUUAAAACUUAAAAAAUUAAUUUUUUUCUAGACGACUUACACGAAAGUUGUCCAUGAAUUUAUUCCGAGAUUCUGGUCAAACUUUGUUUAUCUUGGACGACUUCCAUAAUGAUAUCGGCUCUGAUACCAACUAUUGAUUCACAAUUUCAAGUUUAAUAUAUCGAACACAAACUCAAGAACUUGAUAACAAGUAUAACUCUCUUAUUAUCCCUUCAAGGAAAACUCACUCAAAAUUUUUAAUUUCUCAG